This 2925-nucleotide ribosomal RNA is filed under the name Escherichia coli Nissle 1917. RNAcentral describes it as "bacterial LSU rRNA". It matches the Rfam family "Bacterial large subunit ribosomal RNA". Lineage: Bacteria; Pseudomonadati; Pseudomonadota; Gammaproteobacteria; Enterobacterales; Enterobacteriaceae. The record is from RNAcentral.
GGGUUGUGAGGUUAAGCGACUAAGCGUACACGGUGGAUGCCCUGGCAGUCAGAGGCGAUGAAGGACGUGCUAAUCUGCGAUAAGCGUCGGUGAGGUGAUAUGAACCGUUAUAACCGGCGAUUUCCGAAUGGGGAAACCCAGUGUGUUUCGACACACUAUCAUUAACUGAAUCCAUAGGUUAAUGAGGCGAACCGGGGGAACUGAAACAUCUAAGUACCCCGAGGAAAAGAAAUCAACCGAGAUUCCCCCAGUAGCGGCGAGCGAACGGGGAGGAGCCCAGAGCCUGAAUCAGUGUGUGUGUUAGUGGAAGCGUCUGGAAAGGCGUGCGAUACAGGGUGACAGCCCCGUACACAAAAAUGCACAUAUUGUGAGCUCGAUGAGUAGGGCGGGACACGUGGUAUCCUGUCUGAAUAUGGGGGGACCAUCCUCCAAGGCUAAAUACUCCUGACUGACCGAUAGUGAACCAGUACCGUGAGGGAAAGGCGAAAAGAACCCCGGCGAGGGGAGUGAAAAAGAACCUGAAACCGUGUACGUACAAGCAGUGGGAGCCUCUUAAUGGGGUGACUGCGUACCUUUUGUAUAAUGGGUCAGCGACUUAUAUUCUGUAGCAAGGUUAACCGAAUAGGGGAGCCGAAGGGAAACCGAGUCUUAACUGGGCGUUAAGUUGCAGGGUAUAGACCCGAAACCCGGUGAUCUAGCCAUGGGCAGGUUGAAGGUUGGGUAACACUAACUGGAGGACCGAACCGACUAAUGUUGAAAAAUUAGCGGAUGACUUGUGGCUGGGGGUGAAAGGCCAAUCAAACCGGGAGAUAGCUGGUUCUCCCCGAAAGCUAUUUAGGUAGCGCCUCGUGAAUUCAUCUCCGGGGGUAGAGCACUGUUUCGGCAAGGGGGUCAUCCCGACUUACCAACCCGAUGCAAACUGCGAAUACCGGAGAAUGUUAUCACGGGAGACACACGGCGGGUGCUAACGUCCGUCGUGAAGAGGGAAACAACCCAGACCGCCAGCUAAGGUCCCAAAGUCAUGGUUAAGUGGGAAACGAUGUGGGAAGGCCCAGACAGCCAGGAUGUUGGCUUAGAAGCAGCCAUCAUUUAAAGAAAGCGUAAUAGCUCACUGGUCGAGUCGGCCUGCGCGGAAGAUGUAACGGGGCUAAACCAUGCACCGAAGCUGCGGCAGCGACACUAUGUGUUGUUGGGUAGGGGAGCGUUCUGUAAGCCUGUGAAGGUGGCCUGUGAGGGUUGCUGGAGGUAUCAGAAGUGCGAAUGCUGACAUAAGUAACGAUAAAGCGGGUGAAAAGCCCGCUCGCCGGAAGACCAAGGGUUCCUGUCCAACGUUAAUCAGGGCAGGGUGAGUCGACCCCUAAGGCGAGGCCGAAAGGCGUAGUCGAUGGGAAACAGGUUAAUAUUCCUGUACUUGGUGUUACUGCGAAGGGGGGACGGAGAAGGCUAUGUUGGCCGGGCGACGGUUGUCCCGGUUUAAGCGUGUAGGCUGGUUUUCCAGGCAAAUCCGGAAAACCAAGGCUGAGGCGUGAUGACGAGGCACUACGGUGCUGAAGCGACAAAUGCCCUGCUUCCAGGAAAAGCCUCUAAGCAUCAGGUAACAUCAAAUCGUACCCCAAACCGACACAGGUGGUCAGGUAGAGAAUACCAAGGCGCUUGAGAGAACUCGGGUGAAGGAACUAGGCAAAAUGGUGCCGUAACUUCGGGAGAAGGCACGCUGAUAUGUAGGUGAAGCGACUUGCUCGUGGAGCUGAAAUCAGUCGAAGAUACCAGCUGGCUGCAACUGUUUAUUAAAAACACAGCACUGUGCAAACACGAAAGUGGACGUAUACGGUGUGACGCCUGCCCGGUGCCGGAAGGUUAAUUGAUGGGGUUAGCGGUAACGCGAAGCUCUUGAUCGAAGCCCCGGUAAACGGCGGCCGUAACUAUAACGGUCCUAAGGUAGCGAAAUUCCUUGUCGGGUAAGUUCCGACCUGCACGAAUGGCGUAAUGAUGGCCAGGCUGUCUCCACCCGAGACUCAGUGAAAUUGAACUCGCUGUGAAGAUGCAGUGUACCCGCGGCAAGACGGAAAGACCCCGUGAACCUUUACUAUAGCUUGACACUGAACAUUGAGCCUUGAUGUGUAGGAUAGGUGGGAGGCUUUGAAGUGUGGACGCCAGUCUGCAUGGAGCCGACCUUGAAAUACCACCCUUUAAUGUUUGAUGUUCUAACGUUGGCCCGUAAUCCGGGUUGCGGACAGUGUCUGGUGGGUAGUUUGACUGGGGCGGUCUCCUCCUAAAGAGUAACGGAGGAGCACGAAGGUUGGCUAAUCCUGGUCGGACAUCAGGAGGUUAGUGCAAUGGCAUAAGCCAGCUUGACUGCGAGCGUGACGGCGCGAGCAGGUGCGAAAGCAGGUCAUAGUGAUCCGGUGGUUCUGAAUGGAAGGGCCAUCGCUCAACGGAUAAAAGGUACUCCGGGGAUAACAGGCUGAUACCGCCCAAGAGUUCAUAUCGACGGCGGUGUUUGGCACCUCGAUGUCGGCUCAUCACAUCCUGGGGCUGAAGUAGGUCCCAAGGGUAUGGCUGUUCGCCAUUUAAAGUGGUACGCGAGCUGGGUUUAGAACGUCGUGAGACAGUUCGGUCCCUAUCUGCCGUGGGCGCUGGAGAACUGAGGGGGGCUGCUCCUAGUACGAGAGGACCGGAGUGGACGCAUCACUGGUGUUCGGGUUGUCAUGCCAAUGGCACUGCCCGGUAGCUAAAUGCGGAAGAGAUAAGUGCUGAAAGCAUCUAAGCACGAAACUUGCCCCGAGAUGAGUUCUCCCUGACUCCUUGAGGGUCCUGAAGGAACGUUGAAGACGACGACGUUGAUAGGCCGGGUGUGUAAGCGCAGCGAUGCGUUGAGCUAACCGGUACUAAUGAACCGUGAGGCUUAACCUUACAACGCCGAAG